Molecule: ribosomal RNA, 472 nt
Filed under: uncultured bacterium
Lineage: Bacteria
Description: bacterial SSU rRNA
Rfam family: Bacterial small subunit ribosomal RNA
Source: RNAcentral
UGGGGAAUAUUGGACAAUGGGGGGAACCCUGAUCCAGCAAUGCCGCGUGUGUGAAGAAGGCCUGAGGGUUGUAAAGCACUUUCAGAGGGGAGGAGGACUAUUAGGUUAAGAGCUAGAUAGUUGGACGUUACCCUCAGAAGCAGCACCGGCUAACUCCGUGCCAGCAGCCGCGGUAAUACGGGGGGUGCAAGCGUUAAUCGGAUUUACUGGGCGUAAAGGGCGCGUAGGCGGCGUGGUAAGUCAUCUGUGAAAUCUCCGAGCUUAACUCGGAACGGUCAGAUGAUACUGCUGUGCUAGAGUACAGAAAGGGCAAUCGGAAUUCUUGGUGUAGCGGUGAAAUGCGUAGAUAUCAAGAGGAACACCAGUGGCGAAGGCGACUUGCUGGACUUAUGGUGACGCUGAGACGCGAAAGCGUGGGGAGCAAACAGGAUUAGAUACCCCCGUAGUCCCUGAGCGGGCUGGCAAGGCGCAU